Molecule: small nuclear RNA, 103 nt
Organism: Antechinus flavipes (yellow-footed antechinus)
Lineage: Eukaryota; Metazoa; Chordata; Mammalia; Dasyuromorphia; Dasyuridae
Source: RefSeq, a predicted model, not a curated record
UUGCUUUGACAGCACAUACACUAACAUUGGAACAUUACAGAGAAGAUUAACAUGGCUCUUGCACAAGGAAGACACACAAAUUCAUGAAGAGUUCCAUUUUUUA